GUUAUUUCUGUAUUCUAAUACCUAAAACCCACACCAACCCUUCACCAGUACUGAAUGACUCCAUAUAACUUAUGGAAGACAUUAUGCUAGAACUAGUAACAAGAAAUAAAACUUCUCCCCAAUGUAUGUGUAAGCCGGAAACGGACAAACCGCCGGCAAUUAACGUAAAUGAACAUCCUAUAGCAACUGAUACUAGAAAAUUCUAUAAGUAUUAACGUUAGUCUUACACUAGGACAUUACCGGAAAGAUUAAAAGGGAAAGAAGGAACUCGGCAAAUUUUAACCCCGCCUGUUUACCAAAAACAUCGCCUCUUGAUUAACCAUAAGAGGUCCAGCCUGCCCGGUGACAAAGUUUAACGGCCGCGGUACCCUAACCGUGCGAAGGUAGCAUAAUCACUUGUUCUUUAAAUAGGGACUAGUAUCAACGGCAUCACGAGGGUUACACUGUCUCCUUUCCUCAAUCAGUGAAACUGAUCUCCCCGUGAAGAAGCGGGGAUAUAACUAUAAGACGAGAAGACCCCAUGGAGCUUUAAGCUCAACAGCACCUCUAUACAAAUAUACCCCCACAACCCACGAGCCCUGUCUGUUAGCUUUAGGUUGGGGUGACCGCGGAGUAUAAUACAACCUCCACGACGAAUAGGCCUAAAACCUUUAUCCAAGAGCCACUGCUCUAAGAAUCAUAAAAUUGACGUAAAAUGAUCCGAUUUUCGAUCAACGAACCAAGUUACCCUGGGGAUAACAGCGCAAUCCAUUUCAAGAGCCCCUAUCGACAAAUGGGUUUACGACCUCGAUGUUGGAUCAGGGUAUCCUAGUGGUGCAGCCGCUACUAAAGGUUCGUUUGUUCAACGA
RNAcentral lists this ribosomal RNA (848 nucleotides) under Tomopterna sp. ALK-2016. Its description in RNAcentral is "partial 16S ribosomal RNA". It matches the Rfam family "Bacterial large subunit ribosomal RNA", at positions 1490 to 2587 of the family's 2925-position model. Lineage: Eukaryota; Metazoa; Chordata; Amphibia; Anura; Pyxicephalidae. The record is from RNAcentral.